RNAcentral lists this unclassified non-coding RNA (574 nucleotides) under Hevea brasiliensis (rubber tree). Lineage: Eukaryota; Viridiplantae; Streptophyta; Magnoliopsida; Malpighiales; Euphorbiaceae. The record is from RNAcentral.
AACAAAUUAAGCAAAGACUGAAUAAAUCAAGAUAUAAACCUAAUAAUUUUUGCGGACAUUUCUAAAAUACGAAACAAAAUGUACACUUAAAGAAUCAAAAUGAUGCAAUGAUUCUAAUAUCACAAUGGGGAGCUACUCAACACUGAUAUCCUCAAAACAUCACGCGGAUUGCUGGAUUCUUUCCCUGUUGUUUCACCCUAACGUCACUUCCUCAAUCGAGGAAUCAGGUAUAUGACACAGUAGAAACUCAUUGGGUUGCAAUGCAAACAGAAUCCUUUCGUGUGGAACUUAACUUACCUUCACAAUCAAACCUCAUAUGUCGGAUGUUGCUCUACAGUACUGAUUAUGGCACCUUGUGAUUGCUCCUUCAGUUAAGAAAACGGACAUGGGAGUAUCUUUUUUUCUUUGCAGGGAAUUGUUAUUAGGUUCAUCAAACUCCAUAAAGUGGUAACAACAUUUUCACAAAGGAGUACGCCAAUGCACCCGUAAAUAUGUAGCUGUCCACCCUGUCCAGUAUUCCUCCGUGUCCAGGAAUGAGAGAUCCUGAGUCUUUCACACCCGCAUCACGUUUGAU